RNAcentral lists this long non-coding RNA (3751 nucleotides) under Zostera marina. Its description in RNAcentral is "long non-coding RNA (ZMAR_LNC001307)". The record is from RNAcentral. Lineage: Eukaryota; Viridiplantae; Streptophyta; Magnoliopsida; Alismatales; Zosteraceae.
CUACUUUCACAGUUUCCCUUGCUCUAACAAUCAAAUCAAAUCAAAACUAGCUACAGCAUACAGCAGAGAAUAAAUCUUAGAUCCUCUGGUGUAGCUAUAUAUAUAAAAAGGAAACAGUUAUUCACUGAGAUUGAACAUCGAAGUACGUGGUAUAUUUUUCUCUCGAAAUGAGCAAAAAGCUUGCAUUUUCUGAACUUGACUGUUUGUCGUCUUCAUCAACUUUUGGAUUAACCUAAGAACCCUAAUUUUAGAGUGAACUGGCUACUUCCAUUGAUUCCACUCAGAAUGUGCUUGCAUGUUAUCGGAUAUGGCAUUUUGUUUCAUUGGGAAAACCAAAAUUAGUAAUAACUUAUCGAGAUGCCAACCUUUUGUUUGUUUUUUUCUUAAUUUGCAUGUUAUGUACGUAAACGUUGAUGAAAUUACACUUGUACAAUAAUUUGCCCAUCGCAUAAUUAAUAUAAUUAAUCAAAUUAACAUACUAAUUACACUGUUAUUAAGACCUAAUUAAUGCUAUUGGGCCAAUUAUAGAAUGAAGUCCAGACAGCAUGAUGGGCCAAUUAAAGAAUGAAGUCCAGACAGCAUGAUGGGCCAAUUAGGGAGUCAGCCCAAUAGCACACAAACAAUAGUUGAUCGAUUAGUUAAUCAAGUUGUAUUGGUGGUUAAAUACUCUGAGGUAGAACCACUCGAAGAAGGAAGCCGUUGGAGAGUCGGGUGAGCUAGGUCCUAUGACCGCUGGAAGUUCGUCUGACCUAUUAGACCUCAAAGCACGAGGGGGUUAUGGAUGCAUGGGGGAAGUACUGAUGAUAUCCCCAAUUCAGCUAACAUCUGGUGACAUAUCAAUUCAAACCCACAAGGCUCAAGAGAGGGAGCGGUUCGGAAGGCCCACAUGAUGACUACUAUAUAUAUAUCCUCAAAGGUUAGGGUUGAGGGGGAGAUUUUUGGCUAUCUUAAGGAAAUUACGAGAUACCAGAGAGUGGAGACUGGCGAUCGACUAAGCCUUCGACCUUGGGAGAUCGCCAAAGUAUCAGAAAUGGCUUGAUUAGUGCAGCUCGUGCCCAAAAGGUCUUAGAAGGACAUGUCUAGUCCAGUCCAGUCCAGUCAGUCAGACACCACUAUAUCUAAGGAUGCAAAAAAAUUUGGUAUUCGACGAGCUGUUCGGUUCGGGUUUGAUUCAGUUAGCUAAACCAAUCAAACUCAAACCUUAAACACCCAUUCGAGGAAAGAUAGAAAGGGGAUGAGAUUAAGGAUGAAAUUUUCUCAAUUAAAAUGAGAAAGAAAUAAUAAUCUAAAUAAUAUAAUAUAUAUUAAAAUUUAAAGUCAAACAAUUCUUUCUCACUCUUUCAUUUUGGGCUUCUGAUGUGCGGGAAACAACCUGCUUAAUCCGACGAAAAAGACCAAUCGGAAAACGUCCAUCAAAGAUCCGAUCUUUCUCCAAAUACCCACACUUUCUCCCCUCCCUACUCUCUACAUUCGACGAUCUUGAUGCUCGCAGUAGGUAAUCUCUCCUCCGGUACUCCCCAAUUUUGUCGGAUUUUGCAGUUGCCAACUUUAUUGUUCAUGUGGUCGAAUUUUAUUUUGGGUUUUUUUAAUACCCAAUCCAAAUUUCUAAUCUUCCAGCAAUUUCAAAUCUUGCAUAGUUUAGAUUGAAGAAGGUUCAUACUCCUUACUACCACGGCAGUCUACCACACCAGGUAUUUCUCCCCCCCUUUUCAUCUUAUUCCUUACUAAACUUUAAAACUUAAGAUAAAAUAUCUUUUUUGCUUGUUUUGGUUGCUUUUCAUCUUAUUCUUUUCUUGACAAAAACAGGCAAUCUAGGUGUUUGAUAAUAUGUCCAGAUUGUAGUUAGAUGUUUUACACAAUGUCAAUAUCAUGUAUUCUUUCUGGAAACUUCCAUCACAUGAAGAAUGGUAUCGGAAACCGAGGCUGGAUCCGAGCUGCCGGUACUAAUUUUGGAAAUAUUAGGUCUAUUGGAAGCUGUGAAUUUAAGCCAAUAACAAUGGAAAGCCAAGCUAGCAACACCGCCAAUACUAACAGCAAGCCUAGCGAUUUUAAUACGAAGGCUGCAAUAGAUCAUAAAUGGAAAUCCUCGAAUGGUGCAUCAGUUUCUGAAUGGAAAACUAUCCAACGUUUAACGCCUGACCGUAAGAAAUUUGAUUGGCCUGCCGUCGUAAUUGUUUUUGAUAUUGAAACUACAGGAUUCAGCCAUAGCAGAGAUCGGAUAAUUGAAGUUGCAUUUAGGGAUCUUGUUGGUGGUAAAAAGAGCACUUUUCACACACUAGUAAAUCCCGAAAAAGUCAUAACCAAUGCUAAUGUUCAUGGUAUCAGGACCGACAUGGUUAGCAAACCUGAUAUUCCCAGGUAAUUAAAGUAAUCAAUGUAUAUAUGCAUACAUAAUUGUAAAACAUGAAGUAUACAAUUGUUUUCUUCUUCUUUUGUACUGCUUCUUUUCUAUAGGAUGAAGGAUCUAAUACCGAUAAUGUUGAAAUUCGUGGAGAGUCGAAAGUUGGAUGGAAAACCUGUGGUGUUCAUAGCACACAAUGGGCGGACAUUUGAUGUUCCAUUUUUUAUCAGGGAAUUCAAAAGGUGUUCCUUUGAAAUCCCUUCAGAUUGGCUUUUCGUGGAUACACUCCCUCUUGCUCGCAAAUUGGUGAAGCCAGACGGUAUUUAUUUGCUUUGCUAGUUAAUCAUACCCAACCUUUCAUAGACAUUUAUCGAUUUUCUAUAUAUUUUUUGUGCAGGUUCUAAAUCGCUGCAUGCACUGCAACAACAUUACGAGAUUCAAUUAUCCGGGCCAUCACACAGAGCGAUGCAGGAUGUAAAUAUACUAUCUAUGAUUCUUCAGAAGAUAUCUUUCGAGUUGAAACUAUCAGUUGCUGACCUCGUUAAAUAUGCCUUCAAGGCUUCAGACAUCACCACUAAACACCAACCUCCUCGCACCACCACCACCACUAAUAGUAGAAAAAGUAGCAAUUCUUGAGCAGAAGAUUAUAUUCCAAAUAUUCUAUUAAUUUAACUAAUUUCGAUAUUUAGAAUCAUGUUAUUUGAAGCAAAUCAUGAUUUUAAUUAUCCACCAUUACUCUUAGAUUUCUAAUGUUUAUAUAACUUGUAUGAUUUAUUACAGAAAAGUUUCUAGAAAUAACAAGCUCGAUCACAAGAACAAGAAGUCAAUUUAAUAUUCGAACCAGGUAGGGGGGAGGAUUUGAAAAAUUUAACAGAAGGUACCUUAUUACAAGUGUAAAAAUGUGUUAUCUCUUAAUGAUCUAUAUCAGAGUCAUAUACUAUAUCUUUCGUGCUCCGGCGAGUGAGGCCUAAGGAGAGACGUGCCAUUUCAUAUAACGGCUGUACGUUUAAAUAACGACAUGCCAGCAUGACUUCAUUAAGAUCCUCCUUACUCAAGCUGUAAAUGAAAUCAAUGUCCCAUUGCCUGAGAUCAUCAUAUCUCCAGCUAGUACCUUUCUUGCCUGUCAUGCAAUGCUUGCUACAAUAAGCCAUGAUUUUGGAUAAUAUGAAACUGGAAACUUUUGUAAAAGACAUGGAAUCAUACUCUUUGUCAAAGUUUUCAUCGAGCAAUCUUUUCAAAACUACUGGAGUUCCCAUAUCAUUAUCUGAAAAUGUGAAAAAUUUACCAUCCUUACACAACACAGUUACCAUUCUUAAAGAAGCAUAAGAAGAAGGAGAAGAAAAAGGGACAGAAGACGACAUAUCUGAUAAUCUGAAAGGUUAGGUUUUCUGAAUGAAAAUUGGAUGGUUC